GCAUCUCAGCUUCCUUUUUCAGAGAAACUUGAAUUUCCAUGGAAACCAGACAGGCAAAGAAUAAAGGAUGUCUGGAGCCAAAUGUGGAUGAACCAACUCCUGCUGGGCAGCAGCUGGAAUUUCACAUUUUUCUUGUUUCCUGCUGGUCUCUCAAUUUCAUUUUGAAAUGUUCUUUCAGUGCUGACUUCACUGUAAUUU
RNAcentral lists this long non-coding RNA (198 nucleotides) under Cricetulus griseus (Chinese hamster). RNAcentral describes it as "lncRNA (ENSCGRG00000025227.1)". The record is from RNAcentral. Lineage: Eukaryota; Metazoa; Chordata; Mammalia; Rodentia; Cricetidae.